RNAcentral lists this ribosomal RNA (605 nucleotides) under uncultured bacterium. Its description in RNAcentral is "bacterial SSU rRNA". It matches the Rfam family "Bacterial small subunit ribosomal RNA", at positions 333 to 932 of the family's 1533-position model. The record is from RNAcentral.
AGACUCCUACGGGAGGCAGCAGUGGGGAAUUUUGCGCAAUGGGGGAAACCCUGACGCAGCAACGCCGCGUGAGUGAUGAAGGCCUUCGGGUCGUAAAGCUCUUUUAGUGGGGAAGAAACAUCCAUGGACUAAUAAUCCAUGGACUUGACGGUACCCACAGAAAAAGUUCCGGCUAACUACGUGCCAGCAGCCGCGGUAAUACGUAGGGAGCAAGCGUUGUUCGGAAUUAUUGGGCGUAAAGAGCGCGUAGGCGGCUUGGCAAGUCUGGUGUGAAAUCUCACAGCUUAACUGUGAAACUGCAUCAGAAACUGCUUGGCUAGAGUGUGGGAGAGGAGAGUGGAAUUCCCAGUGUAGAGGUGAAAUUCGUAGAUACUGGGAGGAACACCGGUGGCGAAGGCGGCUCUCUGGACCACAACUGACGCUGAGGCGCGAAAGCUAGGGGAGCAAACGGGAUUAGAUACCCCGGUAGUCCUAGCCGUAAACGAUGGGCACUAGUGUGGGGGGAAUUGACCCCUUCCGUGCCGCAGCUAACGCAUUAAGUGCCCGCCUGGGGAGUACGGUCGCAAGACUAAAACUCAAGGAAUUGACGGGGCCCGCACAAGCGU